ACCAGAGAGUACAGACAGCCCUGAUUAGCUGAGUCACACAAGGCUUUACCAGUUGGUUGAUCAGUAACCUCUCGACCUCAAGGAUAUGAGACAGAUCCCCAAGUCCCCAGUAGUAACCAGAAUUCAAGAGAGAUUGGCCUUGUGGGUACACUUGGCUUCCCAGCCAAAUGAGAGACUAUGGAAGUGGAGUUAUGGAAAGGUCUCAGGGGUGAGUUUUCACAAAUGCUUGACAAUGACCUAACCCAGGACUCCAAGGGCACAGGUAGAAGUGAACAAGAGACAGUUAGUCAGCCCUUUUAACCAGAUCUGGAUGUGAAUACCCACUUUUCUGGCUGCCUGCCUUAGGAUUCAAACAUGAAGGCAAGCAUUUCACCAUUGAGCUACACCUUCAGCCUGAAAUUAUUCCUCUUAGAAUGAAGACACUCUCCAGGAAGAGCCUGGGUGGGAUGCCAACUAUGAGGUUGCUCCAUAAAUGCUGAGUCAGAGCCAAGCAGUCAACAGCAGUAGCACACUGUCACUGUGUGUCAUCACCCCUGUCUCAGGAAACAAGGAGGAGGAAGCCCGAGAGUGGAAUUCUGAGCUUUGGCUACAUUCUCCUCUAAGAAGCUGGAGUGAAGACAACUUCGGGAUGCUGGAGGAUUCACUGACAAUGGGGAGAAGCUGCUUGGGAAUAGGAGGCCUUCAGGGAUUUCAUUAGAUGUUGGUGCCCCACCCCAUAUCCAUGGAAUGCCAGGGUCCAGGAACUCACAGUGAGCAGAUACCUUGUCCCUGCCACCUACAUGGCUGGCACUAGAGUGUGAAAUGCAGAGAAACCACAACCAUGGCACUGCUGUAUAAAGCCCCCUCCAGUCAAGGUAAAUGUGCAGAAACCAAGACUUGCAGAUGAAUUGUGACCUGUGCACAUGUAAUUUUCAUGGGUUCAACCCACACACAGAGUAGGGCAAGACUGAAAAAGAGAGAUGUAGGCUACUUGACAGUAAAGAACUAACAAAGCAAUAAAAUCUUAGCCAGGGCACUUGGGAGGCUGCAGU
Nannospalax galili (Upper Galilee mountains blind mole rat) is the source of this 1031-nucleotide long non-coding RNA. RefSeq lists it as uncharacterized. The record is from RefSeq and is a predicted model, not a curated record. The transcript has 4 exons. Lineage: Eukaryota; Metazoa; Chordata; Mammalia; Rodentia; Spalacidae.